This is a non-coding RNA of Elaeis guineensis (African oil palm), 3460 nucleotides long. Lineage: Eukaryota; Viridiplantae; Streptophyta; Magnoliopsida; Arecales; Arecaceae. The record is from RefSeq and is a predicted model, not a curated record.
CGAGUUGUUUGCCAUCCCAACUGAUCGACCCGGAACAGGCUGGUGUCCUGAUAAUCUUAAAAUAAAAUUCCUAAAACGUCUAAUACCAUCCGUCUAUCCCCUCCCCGGUCUCUCUUCCGACCCUCUUCCCUCGCUGAACAGUCGUCGCCAUCCUCUCUUUCUCCUUCCUGUUCCCCGAUCUCAGAUUUCCUCUCUAAAACCCAUCACUCCCAUCGAUCCAUAUCUCUUCUCCCUCCAAUUCGAUCAUCCUUCGAUCGAUAGAGAAGUUUGAUCUCAAUUCUUCUCUUUCCUCCAUCCAGUUCCCUCUUUAUAUUGCUAAAAGAUCAACCACGGUUCCGUAACAAUCAAAUUGGAUCCAAACCAUGCCCUUCUCCCAACCUUGCCGCGCGCCCGCCGCCGACGCCGGCGGCUACCACCACAAUUACCACCGAUCUGCCUUCAGUCGCCCGGCCGCCGCCCCCGGAUACGAAGCCGCCGCCGUCCCCAACCUCACCCAUUUUCCUCAUAGAGAUUUCUCCUAUAGAAACCACCAAGAUUACGCCUUCAACCAUGCCGCCGCCUACCCUGGCGCGCCGCCGCCUCUAAAGAGGAGAAGGUCCGAUGUCUCCAUCUGGGACGAGCACGCCAGUCAUCGGUAUCGGAAUGGGGUUGCCGGUGGCAAUGCCCUGUCGACGAGUCACGUUUCUUUUCUUCAGCCGAGGAGGCAUGAUGAUGGUACUGUUCCGGCGCGCAGGCAGGCGGAGCCGGCAAAAGAGGAGGAGGAUGUGGCGUUCAUGUCGAGGGAUGAGAUCGAGAGAUGCUCGCCAUCAAGAAAGGAUGGAAUAGAUACUGUUCUUGAAACGCACCUGCGGUACUCGUACUGCUCCUAUCUUCAGAGUCUGGGGAUGAGGCUCGAGCUGCCUCAAACUACAAUUGGAGCUGCUAUGGUGCUCUGCCACAGAUUCUUUCUUCGUAGAUCUCAUGCUUGUCAUGAUAGAUUUUUGAUUGCUACAGCAGCGCUGUUCCUAGCAGCAAAGUCUGAGGAAACACCAUGCCUACUGAACUGUGUGCUAAGGGCAUCCUUUGAAAUUUCUCAGAGACAGGAAUUUACUUUCUUCCCAUAUUUGCUGCACAGUCAGGACUGGUUUGAACAAUAUCGUGAGAAGGUUAUCGAGGCUGAACAAAUGAUAUUGACAACCCUGGAUUUUGAACUUGAUGUGCAGCACCCUUAUGCUCCACUUAGAUCUGUUCUUGACAAACUAGGACUUUCACAAACUCUUCUUCUUAAUGUCGCCUGGAACUUGGUUAAUGAAGGGGUCUUUCUUCACGAGAAUCAUGUGCUCACCUGUGUGAUAUUCUUAGCUGGAGCAUUCAUAUGCUGUUCAUGGAAAGCCUUUUUUCUUUUUAUGUAUUUGAAGUUGAGCAAUAGUGCAAUUUGGACAUGAUUGCAUGGAAAAUCUCAAACCAAUUAUCCAGUUGGUUAUUAUUAAUGACUGAUAGAUCUCCAGAACAUGUUUCAUGUGUAGUACAAUUCUGUUCGUUCUUCCAACUUGAUUCAAGAUAUCUGACACUUUUAUGGUUAUUUCUUGUUGAGUUUCACCAUCUAGCUCAUGUAGUUUGCCUUCCUUGUCUUCUUGAGUUUUAUCUAAACCUCUUUGCCUCACUCGUGUCAUAUUCCAAUUUUAUUUUCUUGUCCCAUUUGUCCUAUCUGUUCUCCUUUAAUUUUUUGCAAAUGUUCAAUCAUCUCUGCAAACCUAAUUUUUGGAUUUAAUUUUUGGUGGUUCACCGUAUCUGCCCUGCAAAGCCAAUCAAUGACAUUUUUUUCCCUCCAAUUCAAAGUCUGGGUGAAACUACAUUAAAUGGAUGAAGUCUCAGAAUGAAUUUUUAUCUUGGUUGUGCUUCUAUUUUAGUCAAUACGAGUCAUCUAAUUUCCAAGCAGUGUUGUGUGUACAAACAAGUACAUCAGUUCUCUCUAUUCUGCAUCGUGCACGCACAACAGAUGAAAAUCCCUAGGCAAAAAGGAAUCUCGAUCAUAAUUUGAAGAUGGUAACUAAAAUUAAAAAAAUAAAAUGAAAGAUAAACCCCAAGAAACAUCAAUGCAUGAAUUAUUUGAUGAUACAAUUUUCCAGAUUGAUUGCUGUUACCUUCUUAACCUCCCAAUAUGAUAUCAACAAGGUGGCCGAAUAAAUUUAUCCUCUGAUCCAUUUAAGAGGAUUCUUGUGGUUGACAAGUUGCUGAUUGUCCUACUAAUAAGACAAAGUUUUCUAAAUUUUAUAAUUUGGAUGUACAUAUCACGUAGUGAAAUAUGUGCUAUGUUACAUGAAAAACUCCAACAAUAAAACAUAUUAUGUUGCUAGAUUGCAGCUAUUAUGUUAUUGUAUUGUUUCCAUUUAAUCAAAAGAUUUCAUUUGUCAAUCUGUAUAACAUGGCUUAUCUCCUGCUGGUUAUAAAUUAUGAAAUUGGCGGUGAGGAAGUGAGAUUAGAUUUCUAUACACCAUUCAGUCUUCUAUCACCAGUAUGGUGCUUUGUUUUAUAGUUUGAAAUUGCACCUUGCCUCAACCAAGUGGUUGAACCCUAUAUACUUAUCUCCAAUUUCCUAGACACAACACAGCAUGGAAAUGAAAUCUCUUUAUCAUCUUCAGAAAGCAUGUGGUACCCAUUCACAUUUCAACCUAAUCAUCUUUGCAAAUGUAAUAGCAGUUCAGGAAAGCAUGCGCAUGGUCACUAUCUUGGCAUGGUGCUGGAAGUCUUAUUAGUCAUUUGUGAGAUAUUAUUGAUAAGCAGAAGAUAGAAGCAUCCAUGGGAGAAGCUUUUGUUCUCUCCUCUGUACCACAAAUCUCACCUACUUUUUCUGAUUGAAUAAUCUUUUUGGAUUUCGGGAAGGGCAAAUGCCCCUGGAGCAUUCUUGGGUCCAGGCCUUGAUGCAUAAUUCCCAAAGGCGCAUCAUACUGCUAUAGAUUAGCACUAUGACAGCAUUUCUACAGAAGAUUCUCAGAUAGUAUAUCACCUGGAUGGCUGCUUUGUAGUUGAUUAAGGAGUUCACUUUGGCUUCAGUUUAAGCCCCAUCAUAUUGCUGCUGGGGCUGCGUUUCUUGCUGCCAAAUUCCUAAAUUAUGAUCUUGCUUUCCAUCCAAGUUUUUGGCAUGAAUUCCAGACCACACCAUCAAUUCUUCAAGAUAUCGUGCAACAGUUGAUGGAACUCUUCUAAGGACAUGUCAAUACUCUUACAUGUUUUACUAAAGGUUUGUUAUACAUCAUAUUUAUAUUGGAUAAAAUAUUUUAAAUACAAGGAUCUCAGGGUGCUAUCAUGUGGGUGUGUCAGCUAAAUAUCUGCAUAAUGCUUCUUAUAUUUUUUAAUUUUUGGAAGCUUUUUUAUUCUUAAGGCUUAAGCUACGUAUGGUACUAUUUGUGCCAAUCAACAACCUCUAACAUAGCUGUUUAACAUUUAUAGUUUUACUAAAAGUUGAUCUACAAUUGCCGCA